UCUAGAACAGAGCUUAAUUAGAUCUAGUAGGCCUACAGGGCUUAAAUAGAUCUAGUACAGAGCUUAAUUUGAUCUAGUGCACAGCUUAAUUAGAUCUAGUACAGAGCUUAAUUAGAUCUAGUAGCAACAGGGCUUAAUUACAUCUAGGUUUUAAGGAGAAAGAAAACUCUGAAUUCAACUCUCUGCUACCUUACGUCUAUACCCAAACAUGGAAAGGCUUCCAGAAUCAACCCUGAGAAAAAAAAACAGGAGCCUAUGAUCCUUAGGAAGCCUGUACCACACAGAAGCAGAACCUGCGAAGCGACAGAUCCCAAACAACAUCGGCACCUGCCUUUCCUUUGGACACAAGAGCUGAGUGGAGAGGCGAGAGCUGCUGUGUUCCGACCAUGGCUAAUUCCACCAGAUUUCACUUCUAUUCGAAGAUCCAUAGUAGCUUAGCGACUGACGCAGGCCACAGAGAUAAAGAAUCAUAGUUGAAUAUCAUAAUAAAAGCCGCGGCAGCAAU
Biomphalaria glabrata is the source of this 505-nucleotide long non-coding RNA. RefSeq lists it as uncharacterized. NCBI's taxonomy places the organism in Eukaryota, Metazoa, Mollusca, Gastropoda, Planorbidae. The record is from RefSeq and is a predicted model, not a curated record. The transcript is spliced from 2 exons.